AUCCAGCCGACGAGUCCCAAAUAGGACGAAACGCUCGUCCGGGAU
Non-coding RNA from Schistosoma rodhaini, 45 nucleotides. The record is from Rfam. NCBI's taxonomy places the organism in Eukaryota, Metazoa, Platyhelminthes, Trematoda, Strigeidida, Schistosomatidae.